RNAcentral lists this long non-coding RNA (210 nucleotides) under Hordeum vulgare. RNAcentral describes it as "long non-coding RNA (HVUL_LNC009212)". Lineage: Eukaryota; Viridiplantae; Streptophyta; Magnoliopsida; Poales; Poaceae. The record is from RNAcentral.
GGUUUCAUUUUAGUUACCGGAAAGUUUUGGGCAAUUCUGGCAGUGUACCGGGAGUGACGAAUGGGUUCCGGGAGUUCACCGGGAGGGGCCCACCCACCCGGGAGUGAGCACAAGGACCUAGGGUGGUGCCACAAGUCCUUAGUGGGCUGGUGGAAUCAGCCCAAGGAUCCCAUGGCGCCACAUAAAGAAAAUACCAAAAGAAAAGAAAAA